AUUGAAAUCACACACAUGGUCUCAGGACUUAAUGAAGCUCAGGUUCUUUGUGUCUCAUCGCAGAAGGAAUUCAGCUAGAGGCAAAGUGAAAGUGGCCCAGUUUGGAAGAUGAAUUAUAUAUCCACCCUUCUUAGAAGGUCAAGGAGGAGGAAAUGCAGAUGUGAAAUGCUGCAAAGAGGACAAGCAAGCUGUGAACAAGAUAAUUCCAGCUGUCUCUGUGACCACAAAGGAACCAGCCCAGGAGAAAGCUUUCACUGAGGAUGGCAGAGCUGAGAGUGAUGAUGUCCUGAAAACCUCACAUACCAUCUGCCGUGGUUGCAUCUUAUAAGCGAGAAUGUUGGCUUCAGUCAGACUGAUUUCAAAUCUCAACUCUGCCUCUUUGAGCCUGAGUUUCCUUAUGGGGAACACCUCUAUUAAGCUGAGAUACAGAGAGACUGAAACACUGAUACUUCCACUUUAAGAGCCCAGAGACUUUCAGUCAAUACGAGUGCUGCCUCCCUGGAUAUACUGCAUCUCUGCUACCAUCCAGCCCCUGCUCAAGAAAUGCUAUAUCCGGUGCUUCGUUGGUGGCACAGUGGUUAAGAAUCCGCCUGCCAGUGCAGGGGACACCAGUUUGAGCCCUGGUCUGGGAAGAUCCCACAUGCCGUGGAGCAACUAGGCCCGUGCGCCACAAGUACUGAGCCUGUCCUUAGAGCCCGUGAGUCACAACUAUUGAGCCCACAUGCCGCAACUAACGAAACUCACGCGCCUGGAACCUGUGCUCUGCAACAAGAGAAGCCACGGCAAUGAGAAGCCCGCGCACCGCAACAAAGAGUAGCCCCCGCUCACCAAAACUAGAGAAAGCCUGCAGGCAGCAAUGAAGACCCAA
Non-coding RNA from Kogia breviceps (pygmy sperm whale), 868 nucleotides. NCBI's taxonomy places the organism in Eukaryota, Metazoa, Chordata, Mammalia, Artiodactyla, Physeteridae. The record is from RefSeq and is a predicted model, not a curated record.